GAUGAAGAACGUAGUGAAAUGCGAUAAGUAGUGUGAAUUGCAGAAUUCAGUGAAUCAUCGAAUCUUUGAACGCACAUUGCGCCCCUUGGUAUCCCGAGGGGCAUGCCUGUUCGAGCGUCAUUUCACCACUCAAGCCUGGCUUGGUGUUGGGCGACGUCCUCUUUGGGGACGCGCCUCGAAACGCUCGGCGGCGUGGCACCGGCUUUAAGCGUAGCAGAAUCUUUCGCUUUGGAAGUCGGGGCCCCGUCUGCCGGAAGACCUGCUCGCAAGGUUGACCUCGGAUCAGGCAGGGAUACCCGCUGAACUUAAGCAUAUCAAUAGCGGAGGA
Molecule: unclassified non-coding RNA, 328 nt
Filed under: soil metagenome
Description: partial contains 5.8S ribosomal RNA, internal transcribed spacer 2, and large subunit ribosomal RNA
Rfam family: 5.8S ribosomal RNA (bases 1-120)
Source: RNAcentral